RNAcentral lists this ribosomal RNA (254 nucleotides) under uncultured bacterium. RNAcentral's name for it is "partial 16S ribosomal RNA". It matches the Rfam family "Bacterial small subunit ribosomal RNA", at positions 524 to 776 of the family's 1533-position model. The record is from RNAcentral.
UACGUAGGGGGCUAGCGUUGUCCGGAAUUAUUGGGCGUAAAGAGCUCGUAGGCGGUCUGUCGCGUCGAUCGUGAAAACUUGGGGCUUAACCCUGAGCUUGCGGUCAAUACGGGCAUGACUGGAGUUCGGCAGGGGAGACUGGAAUUCCUGGUGUAGCGGUGAAAUGCGCAGAUAUCAGGAGGAACACCGGUGGCGAAGGCGGGACUCUGGGCCGAUACUGACGCUGAGGAGCGAAAGCGUGGGGAGCGAACAGG